This 467-nucleotide ribosomal RNA is filed under the name uncultured bacterium. Its description in RNAcentral is "partial 16S ribosomal RNA". It matches the Rfam family "Bacterial small subunit ribosomal RNA", at positions 339 to 795 of the family's 1533-position model. The record is from RNAcentral.
CUACGGGCCGCUCCAGUCGAGAGGCUUCCACAAUGGGGGAAACCCUGAUGGAGCGACGCCGCGUGGGUGAUGAAGGUCUUCGGAUCGUAAAGCCCUUUCGACAGGGACGAAGGCUCCGGAUGCGAAUAGUUUCCGGGGUAAGACGGUACCUGUAUAAGAAGCUCCGGCUAACUCCGUGCCAGCAGCCGCGGUACGACGGAGGGAGUCAAGCGUUGUUCGGAUUUACUGGGCGUAAAGGGCGUCUAGGCUGAUUGUCAAGUCAGGUGUGAAAUCCCCCGGCUCAACCGGGGAACUGCACUUGAAACUGAUAGUCUUGAGUACGGAAGAGGAAAGCGGAAUUCCUGGUGUAGCGGUGGAAUGCGUAGAUAUCAGGAAGAACAUCGGUGGCGAAGGCGGCUUUCUGGUCCGAUACUGACGCUAAAGCGCGAAAGUGUGGGGAGCAAACAGGAUUAGAUACCCGGGUAGUC